GACGAACGCUGGCGGCGUGCUUAACACAUGCAAGUCGAACGGUAAGGCCCUUCGGGGUACACGAGUGGCGAACGGGUGAGUAACCCGUGGGUGAUCUGCCCUGCACUUCGGGAUAAGCCUGGGAAACUGGGUCUAAUACCGGAUAGGACUCCGGACUGCAUGGUCUGGGGUGGGAAGCUUUUGCGGUGUGGGAUGGGCCCGCGGCCUAUCAGCUUGUUGGUGGGGGGAUGGCCUACCAAGGCGACGACGGGUAGCCGGCCUGAGAGGGUGACCGGCCAAACGGGGACUGAGAUACGGCCCAGACGCCUACGGGAGGCAGCAGUGGGGAAUAUUGCACAAUGGGCGCAAGCCUGAUGCAGCGACGCCGCGUGAGGGAUGACGGCCUUCGGGUUGUAAACCUCUUUCAGCAUCGACGAAGCGAAAGUGACGGUAGGUGCAGAAGAAGGACCGGCCAACUACGUGCCAGCAGCCGCCGUAA
RNAcentral lists this ribosomal RNA (478 nucleotides) under uncultured bacterium. RNAcentral's name for it is "partial 16S ribosomal RNA". It matches the Rfam family "Bacterial small subunit ribosomal RNA", at positions 28 to 523 of the family's 1533-position model. The record is from RNAcentral.